Molecule: ribosomal RNA, 1834 nt
Filed under: Escherichia coli
Lineage: Bacteria; Pseudomonadati; Pseudomonadota; Gammaproteobacteria; Enterobacterales; Enterobacteriaceae
Description: partial 23S ribosomal RNA
Rfam family: Bacterial large subunit ribosomal RNA
Source: RNAcentral
AUAAUGGGUCAGCGACUUAUAUUCUGUAGCAAGGUUAACCGAAUAGGGGAGCCGAAGGGAAACCGAGUCUUAACUGGGCGUUAAGUUGCAGGGUAUAGACCCGAAACCCGGUGAUCUAGCCAUGGGCAGGUUGAAGGUUGGGUAACACUAACUGGAGGACCGAACCGACUAAUGUUGAAAAAUUAGCGGAUGACUUGUGGCUGGGGGUGAAAGGCCAAUCAAACCGGGAGAUAGCUGGUUCUCCCCGAAAGCUAUUUAGGUAGCGCCUCGUGAAUUCAUCUCCGGGGGUAGAGCACUGUUUCGGCAAGGGGGUCAUCCCGACUUACCAACCCGAUGCAAACUGCGAAUACCGGAGAAUGUUAUCACGGGAGACACACGGCGGGUGCUAACGUCCGUCGUGAAGAGGGAAACAACCCAGACCGCCAGCUAAGGUCCCAAAGUCAUGGUUAAGUGGGAAACGAUGUGGGAAGGCCCAGACAGCCAGGAUGUUGGCUUAGAAGCAGCCAUCAUUUAAAGAAAGCGUAAUAGCUCACUGGUCGAGUCGGCCUGCGCGGAAGAUGUAACGGGGCUAAACCAUGCACCGAAGCUGCGGCAGCGACGCUGAUGCGUUGUUGGGUAGGGGAGCGUUCUGUAAGCCUGCGAAGGUGUGCUGUGAGGCAUGCUGGAGGUAUCAGAAGUGCGAAUGCUGACAUAAGUAACGAUAAAGCGGGUGAAAAGCCCGCUCGCCGGAAGACCAAGGGUUCCUGUCCAACGUUAAUCGGGGCAGGGUGAGUCGACCCCUAAGGCGAGGCCGAAAGGCGUAGUCGAUGGGAAACAGGUUAAUAUUCCUGUACUUGGUGUUACUGCGAAGGGGGGACGGAGAAGGCUAUGUUGGCCGGGCGACGGUUGUCCCGGUUUAAGCGUGUAGGCUGGUUUUCCAGGCAAAUCCGGAAAAUCAAGGCUGAGGCGUGAUGACGAGGCACUACGGUGCUGAAGCAACAAAUGCCCUGCUUCCAGGAAAAGCCUCUAAGCAUCAGGUAACAUCAAAUCGUACCCCAAACCGACACAGGUGGUCAGGUAGAGAAUACCAAGGCGCUUGAGAGAACUCGGGUGAAGGAACUAGGCAAAAUGGUGCCGUAACUUCGGGAGAAGGCACGCUGAUAUGUAGGUGAAGUCCCUCGCGGAUGGAGCUGAAAUCAGUCGAAGAUACCAGCUGGCUGCAACUGUUUAUUAAAAACACAGCACUGUGCAAACACGAAAGUGGACGUAUACGGUGUGACGCCUGCCCGGUGCCGGAAGGUUAAUUGAUGGGGUUAGCGCAAGCGAAGCUCUUGAUCGAAGCCCCGGUAAACGGCGGCCGUAACUAUAACGGUCCUAAGGUAGCGAAAUUCCUUGUCGGGUAAGUUCCGACCUGCACGAAUGGCGUAAUGAUGGCCAGGCUGUCUCCACCCGAGACUCAGUGAAAUUGAACUCGCUGUGAAGAUGCAGUGUACCCGCGGCAAGACGGAAAGACCCCGUGAACCUUUACUAUAGCUUGACACUGAACAUUGAGCCUUGAUGUGUAGGAUAGGUGGGAGGCUUUGAAGUGUGGACGCCAGUCUGCAUGGAGCCGACCUUGAAAUACCACCCUUUAAUGUUUGAUGUUCUAACGUGGACCCGUAAUCCGGGUUGCGGACAGUGUCUGGUGGGUAGUUUGACUGGGGCGGUCUCCUCCUAAAGAGUAACGGAGGAGCACGAAGGUUGGCUAAUCCUGGUCGGACAUCAGGAGGUUAGUGCAAUGGCAUAAGCCAGCUUGACUGCGAGCGUGACGGCGCGAGCAGGUGCGAAAGCAGGUCAUAGUGAUCCGGUGGUUCUG